RNAcentral lists this ribosomal RNA (467 nucleotides) under uncultured bacterium. Its description in RNAcentral is "partial 16S ribosomal RNA". It matches the Rfam family "Bacterial small subunit ribosomal RNA", at positions 28 to 507 of the family's 1533-position model. The record is from RNAcentral.
GACGAACGCUGGCGGCGUGCUUAACACAUGCAAGUCGAACGGAAAGGCCUCUUUCGGGGGGUACUCGAGUGGCGAACGGGUGAGUAACACGUGAGUAACCUGCCCUUGACUUUGGGAUAACUUCAGGAAACUGGGGCUAAUACCGGAUAGGAGCUCCUGCUGCAUGGUGGGGGUUGGAAAGUUUCGGCGGUUGGGGAUGGACUCGCGGCUUAUCAGCUUGUUGGUGGGGUAGUGGCUUACCAAGGCUUUGACGGGUAGCCGGCCUGAGAGGGUGACCGGCCACAUUGGGACUGAGAUACGGCCCAGACUCCUACGGGAGGCAGCAGUGGGGAAUAUUGCACAAUGGGUGGAAGCCUGAUGCAGCAACGCCGUGUGCGGGAUGACGGCCUUGGGGUUGUAAACCGCUUUCGCUCAUGACGAAGCUUUGUGUGACGGUAGUGGGUAAAGAAGCACCGGCUAACUACGUG